GAACUGAAGAGUUUGAUCAUGGCUCAGAUUGAACGCUGGCGGCAGGCCUAACACAUGCAAGUCGAGCGGAUGAGGGGAGCUUGCUCCCUGAUUCAGCGGCGGACGGGUGAGUAAUGCCUAGGAAUCUGCCUGGUAGUGGGGGACAACGUUUCGAAAGGAACGCUAAUACCGCAUACGUGCUACGGGAGAAAGCAGGGGACC
This 201-nucleotide ribosomal RNA is filed under the name Pseudomonas sp. IC_126. RNAcentral describes it as "partial 16S ribosomal RNA". It matches the Rfam family "Bacterial small subunit ribosomal RNA", at positions 1 to 212 of the family's 1533-position model. The record is from RNAcentral. Lineage: Bacteria; Pseudomonadati; Pseudomonadota; Gammaproteobacteria; Pseudomonadales; Pseudomonadaceae.